RNAcentral lists this ribosomal RNA (253 nucleotides) under uncultured bacterium. RNAcentral describes it as "partial 16S ribosomal RNA". It matches the Rfam family "Bacterial small subunit ribosomal RNA", at positions 524 to 776 of the family's 1533-position model. The record is from RNAcentral.
UACGUAGGGUGCAAGCGUUGUCCGGAAUUAUUGGGCGUAAAGAGCGUGUAGGCGGCCCGACCAGUCCGCUGUGAAGGUCCAGGGCUCAACCCUGGAAUGCCGGUGGAUACUGUCGGGCUAGAGUCCGGAAGGGGCGAGUGGAAUUCCUGGUGUAGCGGUGAAAUGCGCAGAUAUCAGGAGGAACACCAAUGGCGAAGGCAGCUCGCUGGGACGUGACUGACGCUGAGACGCGAAAGCGUGGGGAACAAACAGG